AGAGUUUGAUCCUGGCUCAGAUUGAACGCUGGCGGCAGGCCUAACACAUGCAAGUCGAGCGGAUGACGGGAGCUUGCUCCCUGAUUUAGCGGCGGACGGGUGAGUAAUGCCUAGGAAUCUGCCUGGUAGUGGGGGAUAACGUUCCGAAAGGAACGCUAAUACCGCAUACGUCCUACGGGAGAAAGCAGGGGACCUUCGGGCCUUGCGCUAUCAGAUGAGCCUAGGUCGGAUUAGCUAGUUGGUGAGGUAAUGGCUCACCAAGGCGACGAUCCGUAACUGGUCUGAGAGGAUGAUCAGUCACACUGGAACUGAGACACGGUCCAGACUCCUACGGGAGGCAGCAGUGGGGAAUAUUGGACAAUGGGCGAAAGCCUGAUCCAGCCAUGCCGCGUGUGUGAAGAAGGUCUUCGGAUUGUAAAGCACUUUAAGUUGGGAGGAAGGGCAGUAAGUUAAUACCUUGCUGUUUUGACGUUACCACAGAAUAAGCACCGGCUAACUUCGUGCCAGCAGCCGCGGU
This 517-nucleotide ribosomal RNA is filed under the name Pseudomonas sp. Hugh2699. RNAcentral's name for it is "bacterial SSU rRNA". It matches the Rfam family "Bacterial small subunit ribosomal RNA", at positions 8 to 521 of the family's 1533-position model. The record is from RNAcentral. Lineage: Bacteria; Pseudomonadati; Pseudomonadota; Gammaproteobacteria; Pseudomonadales; Pseudomonadaceae.